UAAAUGCUACCAUACUUCAUUAUGCCAUUCACUUAAAAAUAUACACUAAAUGACUUUAAUAAACUAAUGCCGUAUUUAUUUGAGGUUCUUUGAUUAUUCGAAUUACAAUUUUAACACAUUCCCUAUUUAGUUUUAGUUUUUACUCUUUAUAGGUUCGUUCUGGUUGCUGAAUAUUUCACUUUAUUCGGAAAAGCACCUCAUUAACUUUGUUCUUUAAUAUGUUAAGCUUCCUGCUCUUUUGCACUUUUGCUUGGCUACUGCUUGAGAAACCUUUAGGUAUUCCCUUCCAUUUUCUUAUUAAGAGAUUUGGAAUCUUUUGGACCAUGAAAUGAUUUUAGUACUUUAAACAUAAUUAAGUACAUAAAUAUAAUUUGAUGGUAACUUUAAAGAUCAGCAAGAUUUGGUUAAUACAGUUUUAUUCACCCUGGGCUUAAGUUAUGGAGCUUUUCACAUGUCAGUAACACUUCAAUAGUGUCGUGUUUUUAUUUCUAUUGUUAAUAUAAGACAAGGUUUUAUGCAGGCAGGUGCUCUCAGGCUCGGGUGUUGGCUAUGAAGAGAUGAAAAUGGAGCCCUCCUUCCAGACUUUAGAGCUCUAACAGACUCCAGAGGACGGUCUCCACAGCAGCGCUGUUCACUUAGGGGGAUAAUUCUGGUGGGUCUGUCCUGUGCAUUUUCCGCUGCCCACUAGAUGCCAGUAGCACCCUCCCAAAAGUGUCUAAGACAUUGCUGGAGGCAGAGUUGUUCCUGGCAGGCAGAGUUGCCCCCAGUUGAGAAUUAUUGCUCUAGAAAAAUCUCACAGAUCUUUCAUUUUAAGUUCUAUUGAAUUGAUAGCUCAAUUGUUAAAAAUAUUAAAACAGGGGUUCCAGCGUCCCUGAAAAUGAUCGGUUGGCUUCCAUAGCUGCUGAAUUGCAGUUUAGGUCCCUGAGUCGUCACUCAAGCCCCACGGAGGAGCGAGACGAACCAGCAUAUCCAAGAGGAGAUUCAAGUGGGUCCACAAGAAGAAGUUGGGAACUUCGGACACUAAUCAGCCAGAGUAAAGAUAGUGCUUCUAAACUAGGACCCAUAGAAGCUAUCCAGAAGUCAGUCCGAUUGUUUGAAGAAAAGAGGUACCGAGAAAUGAGGAGAAAGAAUAUCAUUGGUCAAGUUUGUGAUACGCCUAAGUCGUAUGAUAAUGUUAUGCAUGUUGGCUUGAGGAAGGUGACCUUCAAGUGGCAAAGAGGAAACAAAAUUGGAGAAGGCCAGUAUGGGAAGGUGUACACCUGCAUCAGCGUCGACACCGGGGAGCUGAUGGCCAUGAAGGAGAUUCGAUUUCAACCUAAUGACCAUAAGACUAUCAAGGAAACUGCAGAUGAAUUGAAGAUAUUCGAAGGCAUCAAACACCCCAAUCUGGUUCGGUAUUUUGGUGUGGAGCUCCAUAGAGAAGAAAUGUACAUCUUCAUGGAGUACUGCGAUGAGGGGACUUUAGAAGAGGUGUCAAGGCUGGGACUUCAGGAACAUGUGAUUAGGCUGUAUUCAAAGCAGAUCACCAUUGCAAUCAAUGUCCUCCAUGAGCAUGGCAUAGUCCACCGUGACAUUAAAGGUGCCAAUAUCUUCCUUACCUCAUCUGGAUUAAUCAAACUGGGAGAUUUUGGAUGUUCAGUAAAGCUCAAAAACAAUGCCCAGACCAUGCCUGGUGAAGUGAACAGCACCCUGGGGACUGCAGCAUACAUGGCACCUGAAGUCAUCACUCGUGCCAAAGGAGAGGGCCAUGGGCGUGCGGCCGACAUCUGGAGUCUGGGGUGUGUUGUCAUAGAGAUGGUCACUGGCAAGAGGCCUUGGCAUGAGUACGAGCACAACUUUCAAAUUAUGUAUAAAGUGGGGAUGGGACAUAAGCCACCAAUCCCUGAAAGAUUAAGCCCUGAAGGAAAGGACUUCCUUUCUCACUGCCUUGAGAGUGACCCAAAGAUGAGAUGGACCGCCAGCCAGCUCCUCGACCAUUCGUUUGUCAAGGUUUGCACAGAUGAAGAAUGAAGCCUAGUAGAAUACGGACUUGGAAAAUUCUCUUAAUCACUACUGUAUGUAAUAUUUACAUAAAGACUGUGCUGAGAAGCAGUAUAAGCCUUUUUAACCUUCCAAGACUGAAGACUGCACAGGUGACAAGCGUCACUUCUCCUGCUGCUCCUGUUUGUCUGAUGUGGCAAAAGGCCCUCUGGAGGGCUGGUGGCCACAAGGUUAAAGAAGCUGCAUGUUAAGUGCCAUUACUACUGUACACGGACCAUCGCCUCUGUCUCCUCCGUGUCUCGCGCGACUGAGAACCGUGACAUCAGCGUAGUGUUUUGACCUUUCUAGGUUCAAAAGAAGUUGUAGUGUUAUCAGGCGUCCCAUACCUUGUUUUUAAUCUCCUGUUUGUUGAGUGCACUGACUGUGAAACCUUUACCUUUUCUGUUGUUGUUGGCAAGCUGCAGGUUUGUAAUGCAAAAGGCUGAUUACUGAAAUUUAAGAAAAACGUUCUUUUUUCAAUAAAUGGUUUAUUUUAGGAAAGCUC
This 2524-nucleotide small RNA is filed under the name Pongo abelii (Sumatran orangutan). Its description in RNAcentral is "retained intron". The record is from RNAcentral. Lineage: Eukaryota; Metazoa; Chordata; Mammalia; Primates; Hominidae.